CUUUUUGAAGGCAGCGCCUGUUGUCAGGGUGGCAGAGCUGGCAAUUUACUGGUUUAUCAACGAAAAAAUAUUGAAUAAUGAAGAUGUAAGAAAAAUUCCUGUGCACACGUUAUUGAAGUUUAAAAGUUUUCUAGGGAGCCUUAUAAUAUUCAGAAGAGGACAGAGAAGGAGACUUCCAGAGCUGAAAGGGU
RNAcentral lists this long non-coding RNA (191 nucleotides) under Phascolarctos cinereus (koala). RNAcentral's name for it is "lncRNA (ENSPCIG00000027879.2)". The record is from RNAcentral. Lineage: Eukaryota; Metazoa; Chordata; Mammalia; Diprotodontia; Phascolarctidae.